GGGCCGGUGGUCUAGGGGCAUGAUACCUCCUUGACAUGGAGGUGAUCACGAGUUCAAAUCUCGUUCGGCCCA
RNAcentral lists this transfer RNA (72 nucleotides) under Methanobacteriaceae archaeon. It matches the Rfam family "tRNA". From Rfam's summary of the family: Transfer RNA (tRNA) molecules are approximately 80 nucleotides in length. Their secondary structure includes four short double-helical elements and three loops (D, anti-codon, and T loops). Lineage: Archaea; Methanobacteriati; Methanobacteriota; Methanobacteria; Methanobacteriales; Methanobacteriaceae. The record is from Rfam by way of RNAcentral.